This 751-nucleotide ribosomal RNA is filed under the name Curculionidae sp. NZAC 03011156. Its description in RNAcentral is "eukaryotic LSU rRNA". It matches the Rfam family "Eukaryotic large subunit ribosomal RNA", at positions 396 to 910 of the family's 3401-position model. Lineage: Eukaryota; Metazoa; Arthropoda; Insecta; Coleoptera; Curculionidae. The record is from RNAcentral.
UACGUGAAACCGUUCAGGGGUAAACCUGAGAAACCCGAAAGGUCGAAAGGGGAAAUUCAGCGUGUCUCGGUCGCGGCGCCGGGCGGUCGAGCGACGGGCGGCGUACGCGUCGUCCGCAUCUUCCGUCCUCCGAACCGCGGUCGAACGCGUGCACUUUUCCCCCAGUAGGACGUCGCGAUCCGUUGGGUGUCGGUCUAAGGGCCGCGGUGGAGCCCGUCCGGACGGUUUACCGUUCCGGACGAACCCGCGGUUUCCCGGCCGGCUCGCCCGACGGUAUGGAAAAGGCGCGAGGCCGCUACACAGUUAGCGUCUGACCCGCGGCAAGCGCGCCCGUCGUUUCGGUGAUCGGACCUGGUCCGGUCCCGGACCCGGGUGGCUGUUCGCUGCGGAGCUCUCGGACAGACCUCGUUGAAACGCCGAUCUGCGACGCUAUAGCUUUGGGUACUUUCAGGACCCGUCUUGAAACACGGACCAAGGAGUCUAGCAUGUGCGCGAGUCAUUGGGACACGAUUAAACCUAAAGGCGCAAUGAAAGUGAAGGUCCGCCUUGCGCGGACCGAGGGAGGAUGGGCGGCCGUUUCGGCUGUCGCCCCGCACUCCCGGGGCGUCUCGUUCUCAUCGCGAGAAGAGGCGCACCAAGAGCGUACACGCUGGGACCCGAAAGAUGGUGAACUAUGCCUGGUCAGGACGAAGUCAGGGGAAACCCUGAUGGAGGUCCGUAGCGAUUCUGACGUGCAAAUCGAUCGUCGGAA